RNAcentral lists this ribosomal RNA (412 nucleotides) under Globigerinoides ruber albus. RNAcentral describes it as "partial small subunit ribosomal RNA". It matches the Rfam family "Eukaryotic small subunit ribosomal RNA", at positions 1442 to 1684 of the family's 1831-position model. The record is from RNAcentral. Lineage: Eukaryota; Foraminifera; Rotaliida; Globigerinidae.
AGGUUGCGGCAAUAACAGGUCUGUGAUGCCCUCAGAUGUCCCGGGCUGCACACGUGCUACAAUGAGUGGCGCAAUGUGCUAAUGUUUUAAGGGAUAAGCGUGCGGCCAGUAGAACGUCGGGAAAUUCCCCUGGCGUCGCCUGCGCACGAUUAUCAGCCUUCCCUUAACAGGGCGGGCAACCUUUUCAAAAUACCGGUUUGAUAUUAAAGUAUAGAGUCGUUUUUUUUGGAUGGUGGUUUACGAACCAAUACCAUCCGCAACUGCUCGCGAGUUUGUGGUUCUGGUGACUCAUGGUGGGGACCGAUGUUUGUAAUUGUUUGUCGCGUGUCAACUAGGAAUGCCUUGUACUGUCGAUUCACUAAGUUAUUGGGAAUACGUCCCUGCCCUUUGUACACACCGCCCGUCGCUCUUA